Molecule: long non-coding RNA, 268 nt
Organism: Electrophorus electricus (electric eel)
Lineage: Eukaryota; Metazoa; Chordata; Actinopteri; Gymnotiformes; Gymnotidae
Source: RefSeq, a predicted model, not a curated record
UGUCAAUCUGAAGGGUGGGUAUGUGUGUCAUGCCCUGCAUGACUUCACUGGUGGCAAGUACGAGGAAUUUAUUCUGAGCAGAGCUCCAGAACACUUUUGGGACAUAAUGGAUCAGGCAGCAAAGAACAACGCUCUGAUGGGCUGUGGGAUCCCCCUAGUGGAAAGCCCUGCCAACACAGUGUUACCCUGUGGUAUAGUGGAGGGCCAUGCCUACUCUGUCAAAGGUGUCACCAAGUUGAUGGUUGAUGGUAAGGAAGCCAAACUGGUG